UCAUGAUAUCAUUUUAAGUUUGGGGUUGCUUCUGGAAUUAGCAACAUCUUAAGUUUGGGGUAGGGGUACUAGAGAACAAAAAAAAAAUAGUAAUAAUAGAGACUCACAAAAAAAUAAUUGAGUUUCUUAAAAAAAAAAAAAGAAUAAAAAAAGAAUAAAGAGCCAUUAAGCAUGAAAAAUAGUGGCAUCUUCAAAAACAAAAUGAUGAAAAAUAAGUUCUCUAAGUACCUAAUCAACAAUGAAUUGAGCCCCGGUUAUGGUAAUUUUUCGAUAAGGAAUAGUAGUUGAUACCUAACUCCAAUUUAGCCUACUUUUCCCAAAUUUAUCCCACCAUUUACCCAAGCCAAGUUACAACCUUUAAGACCUAAAAAAUGUGUGUCAUGUAUUUACUUUGAUUGACGGUUUAGAAUUUUUUCAAGCUUAUGGUAAAAUAGCAUUUGCAUGUUGAUGGAGUGAAUACCCUGUCAAAAUUGAGUGAAUUAGUGAGUGAGAGNNNNNNNNNNNUGAUUGAGCAGGAUCACUGAAGUUAAGACCGGUGGUUCUAUUGCCGGAUGAAGAGAAAAAGUUUUUGAGAUUUUUAUCAUUCAAAUUAAUUUGUUAAUUCACUGACAGUUUUGUUUCGACAGACAUGUUACUUGAGGACAAGCAACAAUUCAAGUUUGGGGUUGUGAUGACAUUUGGUCAUUUGAGUAUUUUUAAUUAUUAUUUCAUAGUAUUUUAAUUAAUUUUUAGGAAUAUUACAUGUUCAAAGAGAAGAAUUUAUGAAGAAAUUGAGCUAUGAAAGAGUUUGAAGAAUAAAGACUAAGGGAAGAAAAACUUAGAAAAAUAUUCAAUAUAUUGAGCUGAUUUUCGCCCAACUCUCUGCUUUUCUCGCGUCCCCACAAGAAUUUCAUAGUGACGCGAUUUGCCACUUUCCUGCCCACUUGAAUUAUGCUGCACAUGCACAUCUCAAGCUUACACGUCAUAUAAAAAGGAAGAUUGAUUGAAUUGCUCUAGUGGGACCCGCCAGUCAAACAAGUGAUGGUUUGUUUUGCUAGUGGUACGAUUUGUCUCUCCGGAAGCAUAUAAAUAGGGGAUUAUUUUCAUUAACCUAAAAAAAUCACGCACGCCGAGAGAAGAAGUUACACAGUACGAGAGACUGACGGCUUGCACAGCGGAGCAACUAAUUGGUGAUUCAAGUCAUUCAACCGCAAUUUUAUGUGUAAUUUUGAAUACUAUUUUUAUCUCUGAUCAAUAUUAUGAGUAGCUAAUUUAUCAAUUGUUAGGGAUGAGUAAACCUAGAUGACUAUUCUUAUUUUAUGAUUUGAUUUAUGAUUAUUG
Molecule: long non-coding RNA, 1320 nt
Filed under: Trifolium pratense (red clover)
Lineage: Eukaryota; Viridiplantae; Streptophyta; Magnoliopsida; Fabales; Fabaceae
Description: long non-coding RNA (TPRA_LNC005582)
Source: RNAcentral